GGAACGAUACUAGCUUGCUAGUAGGCGUCGAGUGGCGGACGGGUGAGUAACGCGUAGGAAUCUGCCUGAUAGUGGGGGAUAGCCCGAAGAAAUUCGGAUUAAUACCGCAUAAUCUAUUCGUAGUAAAGUGGGGGACUUUCGAGCCUCACGCUAUCAGAUGAGCCUGCGUAAGAUUAGCUUGUUGGUAGGGUAAAAGCCUACCAAGGCGACGAUCUUUAGCUGGUCUGAGAGGAUGAUCAGCCACAUCGGGACUGAAAACCCGGCCCGAACUCCUACGGGAGGCAGCAGUGGGGAAUAUUGGACAAUGGGGGCAACCCUGAUCCAGCAAUACCGCGUGUGUGAAGAAGGCCUGAGGGUUGUAAAGCACUUUCAAUUGUGAAGAAAAGUUAGCGGUUAAUAACCGUUAGCCUUGACGUUAACUUUAGAAGAAGCACCGGCUAACUCCGUGCCAGCAGCCGCGGUAAUACGGAGGGUGCAAGCGUUAAUCGGAAUUACUGGGCGUAAAGCGUGCGUAGGCGGUUUAUUAAGUCAGAUGUGAAAGCCCCGGGCUUAACCUGGGAACUGCAUUUGAAACUGGUCAACUAGAGUAUGGUAGAGGAAAGUGGAAUUUCUGGUGUAGCGGUGAAAUGCGUAGAUAUCAGAAGGAACAUCAAUGGCGAAGGCAGCUUUCUGGACCAAUACUGACGCUGAGGUACGAAAGCGUGGGUAGCAAACAGGAUUAGAUACCCUGGUAGUCCACGCCGUAAACGAUGAUAACUAGCCGUUGGGGGGGAUUUACCCC
Molecule: ribosomal RNA, 781 nt
Filed under: bacterium enrichment culture clone NPHTC-037
Lineage: Bacteria
Description: bacterial SSU rRNA
Rfam family: Bacterial small subunit ribosomal RNA
Source: RNAcentral